AACAAAGCGUUGACGAGACGAGUAGGUUAUCCGGAGGGUCACAGAGAGAGAUGCAUAGCUGAGAGCAUUUUACAGAAGGAUAAUUGAAGACUACCUCUGAGCGACUCUAAUCAAGUCCGGUGAUUCCGUUAUAAUCAGAAUGAGAGGCUUUUGUCAGAAUAGAUUUUGACAGAAACAAUCAGGGUGGAACCGCGUAUUUUACGUCCCUGUU
RNAcentral lists this non-coding RNA (211 nucleotides) under Eubacterium ventriosum. RNAcentral's name for it is "T-box sequence". It matches the Rfam family "T-box leader". Rfam says of the family: Uncharged tRNA acts as the effector for transcription antitermination of genes in the T-box leader family. T-boxes are found upstream of many aminoacyl-tRNA synthetase genes and some amino acid biosynthetic genes usually in Gram-positive bacteria. The record is from RNAcentral. Lineage: Bacteria; Bacillati; Bacillota; Clostridia; Eubacteriales; Eubacteriaceae.